GACGAACGCUGGCGGCGUGCUUAACACAUGCAAGUCGAACGGAAAGGCCCUGCUUUUGUGGGGUGCUCGAGUGGCGAACGGGUGAGUAACACGUGAGUACCUGCCCUUGACUUUUGGAUAACUUCAGGAAACUGGGGCUAAUACCCGAUAGGAGCUCCUGCUUCAUUGUUGGGGGUGGAAAGGUUCGGCGGGUGGGGGUGGACUCGCGGCUUAUCAGCUUGUUUGUGGGGUAGUGGCUUACCAAGGCUUUGACGGGGAGCCGGCCUGGGGGGGUGACCGGCCACAUUGGGACUGAGAUACGGCCCAGACUCCUACGGGAGGCAGCAGUGGGGAAUAUUGCACAAUGGGCGGAAGCCUGAUGCAGCAACGCCGCGUGCGGGAUGACGGCCUUCGGGUUGUAAACCGCUUUCGCCUGUGACGAAGCGUGAGUGACGGUAAUGGGUAAAGAAGCACCGGCUAACUACGUG
Molecule: ribosomal RNA, 467 nt
Filed under: uncultured bacterium
Lineage: Bacteria
Description: partial 16S ribosomal RNA
Rfam family: Bacterial small subunit ribosomal RNA
Source: RNAcentral